UAUCCACUAAGUAUAUGGAAACAUAGCUCAGUUGGGUAAAAUACAGACAAGAAUUAGAUAUAAGCGAAUCGUUUUGUGGGUUCGAAUCCUCAUGAGGAUUUCUUUUUUUUUUCAGAUUUUUUUUUUAUUUUUCCUAUUCGUUUUCAUUUUUGCUUCCGUAUUUUUGUUCUUUGAUUGUUUGUAUUUGUAUAUAUGUCUUAAUUUAACACAAUAGUAUUUUCAUUAUUUGCAUGGAUAAAGUGCAUGUAUUUAAUCAAUAUCAUCUUUUAUAUAUAAUAAAAUAUUCUGAUCUGCCAUAUCGCUUUUAGAUACCUCUCUGUCGUGUUUUCACAGAGCUUAUGAAGGAAUGUUAAUGUUUAUGCAAAAGUGAAAUAAAAAUUGACUGUCGAUGCUGAGUUUCGAACCCACACGGCAAAAUAUCUGUUGAACAUGCCACUGAGCUAAUUCGUAAUUGGUACAAAAUCUAGAAAGAUUUAGAUUGCAACAUGUUAGAAAAAUGUUGAAUUCCCUAUGUUCCAUUUUAAUCUAUUUAUAGUCAUGUUUGUAAAUAUCAAGUUAUCGUUGGGGCAUAUUAAUAAGCUUAGAUAAUGUGGCAGUUGACCUCAAUACAAUAGACACUGUUUAUUUUCUAAUACAGGUAACUAAUAAUUACUUUGCAAUAUAGCCCCUACAUAAUUUUAUGACGGAUUAUCUUUGAACACCCCUGGACUUAUUGGACUCAACUGCCACAUUAUCAAAGUUUAUUAGUAGUAUAUAUUAAUCAACUUACGCCAUGCGGAACAGCUACGCAGUCUGCAUACUGGGUCACAUGAAAACGACAAUAAACAGUUUUUGUUAUUUUUUAUUUGUGAGCAGUGCAAAUCGCGUUAUACACGCAUUUUACUAUUUUGGAUUAUUAGAUACUUUGCACGGGCCACAAGUUUUUAUUGACCGGAUGAAAUACAGACGUAUUAGUGACAAAUAUCGAUCCAGAUGUGUUUGAAGAAACUGAACGUGUAUUGUUUGUCACUUUCGCUUUUAUUUUGGAUGGUUGAUGGUGGAAGUUUACCAUGGCCAGAUUUCGAGAGUGGAUGGUUGCCUAUUAUAAACGGCCUCGAACAUGUUGCUCGACUUAAUAUUGACCAUGGUUUAGGAGAAAUUCCGGUUCUUGUUGAUGUGUCGGUAAAAAUCAAGGACCAUAUAUUCCCGGCCUCAGGAUUUCGACCUGAUCACCCGAAAGAGAGAUCUGGACCAGUUGUUUAUAUAUACGAUGACAUGUAUGUCAAUGUAUCAACGUCUCCUAUAGAAGAUCCACUGUACAGAAUAUUUCCUCGAAAACCGUCGCCCUAUGAAGGGGACUACGUGAGGAUAAUUGGAGAUGCGAAUGUGCGGAUUCGAGCUUGGAAACAAUCUUCACUCCCAAAAGAGGACUUUAAGCAUUCGGGAAUAAUGUUAAAAGCGAAUACAUCUAAAGUUUCAGAUUCCUACGCUGAAGUGAAUCAUAAUCUGGAUGAAUUGCCGUGUCUUGUGGUUGUUCGUAUGAAAAUGUAUCACGGUGAUGGUACGAUUAUGGCUGAUGGCGUUGGUUCCAGUAUGCAGGUAUUUGCCGAUGUACCAGACAGAACGAAUGCCUAUCUUGUGUAUGGUUAUAGCAAUACCACAUUCAGACUGUGGGUGGACUCUUCAAUUUACGGUGCAAUAUUUGACGGCAGAAAACAUACAUGGUUUGACAUGGUUAUAUCCGAGGGAGAGGCCGAAAUAUUCGCAUGGAAAUGUUCAACUAUAACACCUCUAUACAACCAGCGUGUUGUAACAAAAUAUAAUUUGGGCAAAGUUCCGACGCGGUGGGACGUUGAUGUUGAGUAUGAGUUAGAAACCUCGCUGAUUCGAGUUUCGGUUCUAGCAGAAGAGCCAGGUGGUGCUAAUGAGGGUUUCCGGUUUCCUGGAGCAAUGCAUCUCGGGUAUCCAGCGCCGUCAGAAGCCGGAAAUACCAUAAAAUAUGCAACCGUCGGUGGCCUUUCUUAUACAUAUGAAACAAAGUACAAUAAGUUUAAUUUUUGGCAGCCGAAAUAUUUCGAUAAUGAAUCUACAAUAUUUAUCGCAGAGUCAUUUGGCUAUGGAACAAAUUCAGAAAUAUCUCACAGCGAGUCUGUCUACAUUCAAAGCUGGAUAUACGAAGAGAAUGGUGGAUGUCCGACACCUGUCAUUUCUAACGGGUUUGCGGACACGUCAAUCAACGGAACGUCAACGGGGGCACAGGCAAGAGUAAGCUGUUACGAGAGGUUUAUGUUGAUACCAAAAAAAGAUUAUUACAUACACGACUAUGAACAGAAUACAAUAACAUGCCAUAAAUUUGGAUCUUGGGGGAAUGUUCCAAGUUGCGUACCAAAUGACAAGGGAGUGGACGCUGAAUGUAACCCUGCUGUGGAUAAAUGUCGGGAUAAACAUGCUGUUUGUACUCUGAUGUCGACUCUGAAUGUGUAUAAAUGUGCGUGCAACGGAGGGUACAAUAAUGUUAAUGGCCGUUGUAAAGCACAAGGAAAAUACUUGCCAAAAGCGGAUUAUGACAGCGACUGGGUACCGAUACGUAAAGGUGGACACAAUUGGUACCUAGAGCUGGAACAUGGUCUAAGGACAGUACCGAUGUUAGUCGAUGUUCAGGUGGAAGUUUCGGGCUAUGUAUUUCAUGCAAUAGGUUUUUCCCCGGACCAAGGCGAGUACAGCGACCAAAACAGCGCCGUAGUGUAUAUUUAUGAUGAAAGCUUUAUCAAUGUAUCGUCAUUCCGGACACGUAACACCUGGAAUGCCAAUCUCAUGUCAAGGAGCAACUAUAUGUGGGAUGGAUUGCAAUACCACUGGAAGGAUUACGGUAUGGUGAGAGCACAAGCUUGGAAAUCCGAAUCACUUCCAGUUCCGGAUUUGUUAGACGACUCGAGAGUGCUUCGUGCAAAAAGUUCUACAGUGACAGAGGCUUUUACCCAACUCAACAGUAUACAUUUGAAGUUAACGUUUCGUUUCAGACAGCGACUCUUUUUAUGAACUGAAACACAAUCUAGGAGAAUAUCCCAGUCUUGUUGUUGUACGGGCUAAAAUGCAGCAUAAUGGAAGUACUUUCUACGCAGAUGGAGUGGGAUCAGCUCUAAAUGUAUUCUACAAUGUGCCCGGCAUGACUAACGCUUUUCUUGUCUAUGGAUUUAGUGGUGAAAGUGUGCGCGCAUGGGUAGACUCAUCAGAAAACGGAG
Mercenaria mercenaria is the source of this 3221-nucleotide RNA transcript. RefSeq lists it as uncharacterized. The record is from RefSeq and is a predicted model, not a curated record. NCBI's taxonomy places the organism in Eukaryota, Metazoa, Mollusca, Bivalvia, Venerida, Veneridae. The transcript has 16 exons.